Molecule: long non-coding RNA, 2215 nt
Organism: Heterocephalus glaber (naked mole-rat)
Lineage: Eukaryota; Metazoa; Chordata; Mammalia; Rodentia; Bathyergidae
Source: Ensembl
CUUUCCACUGGGUUACAGUUACAUGUGAUUUGUUAAAAUGUUUAUUUUUUUAUCUAACAACUAAUAAAUGUAUUUGCUUAAAGAAAGGAAAGUAAAUUUCACUUGAAAUUCAGUCUAAUGCCUGCCUCUCUUGACUGCAGGCUGCCUAACAAUGCCAGUUGUUUAGACUGAGCAUCACAGGAUGCUGUAGAGAAAAAGAGGUCAAUGUCAGAAUCAGGUCACCAAGCUUCCUGGGCUGUGCUGCAGAGAUCUCAAGCCUAGCCUUGGGAGCAGGCCGCUGGUAACAACACAGCUUCUCAGAGGUCAAAACCGGCCACUCCAGCAGAAGUUCCUGAGGACAAACCCUCAAGAUCCCAGAGAGCUGGUAUUGCCUUCCUGAGCAGCCAGGGCAGGCAAGUGAGCAGAGCAGGCCUUUUAAAUCUGGUAUAAAGCUGAGCAGCCAUCUCCAAAAGAAAUAUCAAAGACAGUUCUAUAAAGCACUUCACAGCAGAAGAAACUUAUCCUAUCAAACAGGAAGUUAUUGUAUAAACUUCAGGAUCCACGGAAAACCCCAGUGGGAAGUACCUGGCCUAUUGGGGAAGAGAAUAUUCUUUCCUCUGUCUGCACAUUUGAAUUUCAGUAAUACUAUGAUAGAUACCUAAGUUAACAGGGGCAAAUGAAACAAACAACUAAAUCUGAAGCCUCCUGGAAGGGAACAAAACCAGCAUGAAGAGUCCCUGGAGAUCAGACUGCUUUUUAUUCCUGGACACUGUGAUCUGACAUAAAAAAGGAAGAAAAUAUAUGUAGCCAUGGCUAUUUGGUUCAUAUCUGAUUUGUAUGUAUUUUUCCUCAGCUAAUAUGUUUUUAUCAGCUGUUGAGUCAACAACAAGGCAAAAGCUGCCCUGCUGUUUGCUCAGAAACCAUAAUAGGAAAACUGUUUUCUCAGAAGUUUCAGUCAUCUUUUUAAUGAUGAAAAUAAAGUAGCUGGUACUUCCUUUUCUCUUACCUUUAAUAAUGUGGAUGAACCAAAAUACCUUCUAAAUUCCAAAUCUGUUUCUAUUUGCAGGAAACAAAAUGUACAUUUUUUCCUAGACUAUAUUUUUCUGGGAGUAGGAUAUAUUUGUUUAUACAUCCAUAUGCAUACAUAUAUACAUACUGUACAUGCACACGAAUAUACAUAAAUACACAUAUGUAUGUAUAAUAUCAGUCUUGCAAACACUAAUGGAGCCGAUGCAAAAUAAAUGUUGUUGGGCUGGGGAUUUAGCUCAAUGGUUCCGUCGCCUGCCUCACAAGCUCAAAGUCCCGAGUUCAAUCUCCGGUACCAAAAAAAAUAUGUUUUUUACUCUUACACCCAUUACUCUAAGGAUAGAUAUCUGUUGGGAAUGUUGAGGAAGGGGUCCGUACUCAAUGAAAGCCUAUACUAGGAUUACAUUUUCUCAGGCAUAUGUUAAGAUUGUGUGUAAAGCCUGCAGAAGUAAUUUAUUUCUAGAAAUCAAGUAUUGAAGUCAGUGAAUAAUUAACUAAAAACCAAAGGUUCCAGGUUAACCUUAUGAUGUGACCUCUACUCAUUUGAAUUUUAGCACCUUCCCUAUGUGGAGUGAACAAGGUGGAGUCACAUUGUAAGAAAUAGCGUGGCCACACACAGCACUAGGAAGUGCGACCUGUGAUCUUGUGACAGCAAAGAGGCUGAAAAUUUUUGAUCUUUAAGGCUCUUAAGAUUUUACAAUUCUGUCAGAUAAAAUUAAAAAAUCUUAUGAAUGGUAUGAAUAAAUAGCCAUUGGACUGUUUGGUGCCAAAUUUAUAUUUCUUAUCUUGAACACGUGGUUUGGAGGCAUAAAUAGCCCCAUUUAGCUGUUGACCAGUAUGAAACAAAUAGUUGAUUGGCUUUCUCCAUUUUCCCAUAAAAUCAGAGUUCAGACAACAGAUGGGUUUUUACUAAUGUAGUCUUCAAUUAGUUUUGAACUUGUGGGAUGUUACACUGCCACCCUGUGGGCAUGAGUUUCCAGCUUUUAGCAAGAUCUUUUAAUGUGUAACUAGUUCUCCCCCUAAGAAUAUACCAGGCAUUAUCUAUUAUACCUUUUAGUCCUUAUUUACACUUUCAGUUUCUCACACUGGAGAAACUCUUCGGUAUUCACCCAUGUGUGUCCUAUUUAUUUCAUUUAAGAGUAUUGCCUCAAUGUGCAUCCAUUUAGCAAUAAAUGUCUCUAAUUUCUUGUUUUUUAUGGCUGAGUAGUAC